AUGCGAGGAGCGUUGAUCAGCUCAUCCGACGGCCACGAAUCCUUGAAGGCUGAAUUGGUUCAUCAUCGGAAGCAGAAGCAGGGAACGAGCGAUCCCCUCCCGGACACGACGCCCCUAUCGCUCGCUGCUUCCGGUGCCGCGUGUCAGCGUGCGCAAAGCUCGCCCUCAUCGCCGCCGCCACCGCCGCCGCCGCUCAACCCCAUCCCGCCGGCCCCGCCCCGUUCCAUGGCCGCCAAGUGGGCCCAGAAGACCGUCGUCAUCCCUGCCCAGCGCCGCGGCUGCCACCUCAUCACCCCCAAGAUUUUGAGGGAGAUUGAGGGCGAUCUCUCCGGGUUCAAGUGCGGCUUGGCGCAUCUGUUCCUGCAGCACACAAGUGCUUCCCUGACCAUCAAUGAGAACUAUGACUCUGAUGUACAGGCUGACACCGAAACAUUCCUUAACAAAAUUGUCCCAGAGGGCCGCUCUGCUCCUUGGAAGCAUACUAUGGAAGGACCGGAUGACAUGCCAGCACAUAUUAAAUCAUCAAUGUUUGGUUGUGCUCUGACAAUUCCUAUAACUGAUGGACAUCUCAACCUGGGCACUUGGCAGGGUAUAUGGCUGUGCGAACAUCGCGAUCAUGCUAGUGCUCGUAAAAUCGUGGUCACCCUCAACGGAAUCUAA
This 660-nucleotide ribosomal RNA is filed under the name Triticum aestivum (bread wheat). RNAcentral describes it as "partial small subunit ribosomal RNA". The record is from RNAcentral. Lineage: Eukaryota; Viridiplantae; Streptophyta; Magnoliopsida; Poales; Poaceae.